This is a long non-coding RNA of Limulus polyphemus (Atlantic horseshoe crab), 629 nucleotides long. RefSeq lists it as uncharacterized. The transcript has 2 exons. Lineage: Eukaryota; Metazoa; Arthropoda; Merostomata; Xiphosura; Limulidae. The record is from RefSeq and is a predicted model, not a curated record.
CUAGCGUAACUGAAAGUGGACCUCGGCAUUAGCAGCUCACUUCUCCUUUCUCGGUUUUACUAUUCCUCCCAUCUUGUAAGUUAACGGGGAACUAACUCCCCCCUUCCUCCUCAUCAAGCAAAAUAUUGUAUUCUUAUCUCAGAUUUGUCUCUAUAUCCGAGCGUAUUAGUGUUCGUCACUUUGAAGAAACUAAGUAUAAGUAGGUAAUUAUUUAUCCCAGUCAAGAAGGAACCUGGACACACACACAGGGUGAAGUGCGUGCGAAUAUUAUAAAGCACGCGGCACGUGACUGCAGCAAAGUGACCUAAAAUGGCACGUAUGGCUAUACGUUUCGGAUUGUAAUAGUCUUUGGUGUAGUUGGAGCUUCUGCAUACUGAAAAAAACACUAACAAUAAAAACUUCGUGAUUGAGAAACAGUUGGUAAUACCGCUUUCCGUGGCUUUUACUCUGACCGAAAGAAACAACUCGACGUUACUUUUAAACACCUUUCGUUCUUAUUAGCUUUGUUGUACUUAAUUGUUCGUGUGGAAGAACGUGCUUGUUUCAAGGAAUGUGAUUAUUCCCCUUUUGUGACGGUCAGGCCGAUAUUUCUACGACUAAUGACGUCAAUAAAAGUCUCUCUUUUUUUU